Molecule: ribosomal RNA, 253 nt
Filed under: uncultured bacterium
Lineage: Bacteria
Description: partial 16S ribosomal RNA
Rfam family: Bacterial small subunit ribosomal RNA
Source: RNAcentral
UACAGAGGGUGCGAGCGUUAAUCGGAAUUACUGGGCGUAAAGCGCACGUAGGCGGCUUGGUAUGUCGGGUGUGAAAUCCCCGGGCUCAACCUGGGAACUGCAUCCGAAACUGCCUUGCUCGAGUAUGGGAGAGGGAAGUGGAAUUUCCGGUGUAGCGGUGAAAUGCGUAGAUAUCGGGAGGAACACCAGCGGCGAAGGCGGCACUCUGGGCUGGUACUGACGCUCAGGAGCGAAAGCGUGGGGAGCAAACAGG